AUUUCGUGAGAAAUAGUGUUUUUCAAGGUUGGCCUGCCACCGCAUGUUUGUUUACGUCCAUCAUGGCGGUGAUUGUUUGGCUUACAGCGUGUCGGCGUUUUGAAAAUAACCACGCAGGAAGUUAUGUACCUAAGUACUGGAUGUAUAGCAUCUAGGUUGCAAGAUUUGAAGCUGUCAAAUUUGUCGUUUGUAACAUUUCUGUAUGUUGUACCAUAAUUGAAUGGAACUAUUGAAGUUUCAAAUUACCUUUUACUGGUCGUUACAUGGUCAGAGGAGUCUAAGGUGGAUAAUUUUUCGCAUUGAUGUACCAAAAUAAUAAAUUGAUGCCAGUGCGACCAGGUGUUUAAUUGUGUUUGGUACUGGUGUGGUGACAUCCCUACUUUCAAACUGUGUGCAGUGUAUCAAAAAGUUGUGCAAGAAAGGAUAUAAAAGCCAGUGACUGCAGUUUUCUUGGAGUCUAAGAAAGGAUAAUGUUUUGCUGACAUCUGCCAUGUACCCAGCCCCUGGCAUGAACGCUGCAGCUGUUGCUGCCGCUGCUCGGCACCCUGUGAGUCAAUUAUUAUCAAUAAGUAUCCCUUUGAUUAUCUCCUUCUUCAGGCCGGUAAGCUAAAUGCUGGUAUAAUACAGAAAACACCACAAAGAUUUGUUUCUCUAUAAUUUUUGGAAGUUUCUAUGUAGCAUAUUUUUACAUGGAAUUAUCACCAGGAAACAAUAUUUAUUGAGCCAUGCACGGAGUUAUCGUCUAUAAUUUAUCUUAAUAACCAUAUCCCGCAGUUGAAAUUGAACGUAACGGAAAAAUUACAAAUGUCUAUGACUAGGCAUUUUUUUCUAGUUGUACUAUUCAAUAUACAGGGAUCCAGGGUUAAACGGCCAGAUUGCAGGAGCCGAAGCGCCCCUAAACCCCUCUCUAAAUGAAGAUUUCGAUUUUUUUUCGAUAAUCUAUGAAUUCAAGGCAUUAAAGUACAGGGGAGUACAAAUUUUCAUGAGAUUUGGUUUACAACCGUUGCCAAAAUU
This 1014-nucleotide long non-coding RNA is filed under the name Bemisia tabaci. RNAcentral's name for it is "lncRNA ENSSSA3NGG005033". The record is from RNAcentral. Lineage: Eukaryota; Metazoa; Arthropoda; Insecta; Hemiptera; Aleyrodidae.